This is a long non-coding RNA of Gossypium raimondii (Peruvian cotton), 2242 nucleotides long. RefSeq lists it as uncharacterized. NCBI's taxonomy places the organism in Eukaryota, Viridiplantae, Streptophyta, Magnoliopsida, Malvales, Malvaceae. The transcript is spliced from 5 exons. The record is from RefSeq and is a predicted model, not a curated record.
GAUAAUGUUUAUAAUGCUAUUUUGGUCGUUCAAAGAGCUUUUACAGCACCUGCAAAAGCAGCGAUAAAUGAAAUUAAUUCAUACUUCCACAUGGAAGUUUUUGAGUUUUUUCUUAAAGGAUAAGUGAUAGACGAAAUCCGGGAGUUGAAUCCUAGAGUUGAAAUCCAAGAGUUGAAUCCCUUAUAAAGUUUAAAUUUAAUUCUUUCAGUGCUGGAGAUGAUGAUUAUGAAGGGUACAAUUACCGCUUGUGUGGGCGACUUUCUGCUGUUCGAAUUGUUUUUCUUUGUAGGUUUGUUCAGGAGGUAUGAUGGGAUACAGUUUAAACUGUACAGUUUUAGCAUUACCAUCAUCCUAUUAUGGUUAAACCUUAACAUUUAACAAUUGAAGUUCACUUUCACAAAUAGUCAAAAUUUAGGUCUAUAAAUUUCAAGAAACUUGGUUUGGCAGAUAACAGUUUACUUCAUGGAGCUUGCUACCCCACAUACAGAAGAAAUAAUAAAACUUGUUGAUAAAGUUGGCGAUUUUGAGUGGUUAAUUCAGAAAUCUGAAAUUGAUGGGGCUGCUGCUUUGAAGCUGGAUCUUACAUUUGACACUCCAAUAAUUAUAGUUCCUAGGAAUUCAACGAGCACUGAGUAUGUUUAACUUUCCAUUAUCUUAGACUUGCAAAGUAGAACAGAACACUAACUGUUUUAGUCCAUUUUAAUAGAAACUGAACUCUCCAGGAUUUUUGUAUUAUUAUUUAGUGUGAACAUUACUAAUGUAUUUCCAUAUGACAAGUUUUGUUCAACUUGAUGUGGGUCUUCUAAAGGUCAGAAAUAAAAUAAGUUGAGCAUAUUAGGUUUGUCACUUAAAGGGCUCUGCAGAUUGUUUUAGAUUGGCUUGAUUUUUUAUUCACUCAAUAUUUCUCUUUAUCUCUCCAUGUGAUCCUAUUCUAGUAUCAUUUAGUACUUGAGUGAUCUAGAAGAUGUUGAUACAUGUCUUAAGGUAUAAUUUUCUGUCAGUUUACAUUAGAACAAGGUAGGUGCAUUAGACCAAGGUGUAAAUGAAUAUGAUCAAGUGUAUGUGUAUUCAAUAACAAGGACUAUUAGGAAAUCAUGUGUAUUGGCCAAUGAAAGAUUAAAAAAUUUUUGCAUGAUUUUUAGAUAAAAGGGACUAGUUGUUAGUGUUUGCUAUCAUAUCUUAAGCUAAUUUAUAUGUACACGGUCACACAUAAAAACACAAAUUUAUAUAUAUUGCCUCGUCUGUGGCAAGUGCUUUUUCCACACCUUGCCUUUUGAGUAAUAUAAAGGGUUCUAGUGCCUAGAAUACCUUGUGCUCUUGGCAACAUUUGGCUGGCCCUACAUUUCUUAAAUUUUUUUUCUAAUUCAAAUUCAUAUUUACUAUUUUUUGAAGAAAAAUUAAUAAUAAUUUUGUUUUGUCAUUUCUUCUAAUAUUAAUAACUAGCUACUUAUACUAUAUUAGAGAAUCAAAUAUUCACCGAGUCAAUGGAGUAUAUAAUUUAAAUAAAUUAUCCUUGAGAUAGUACCGAACCAGUUUUCCUCUUUGAAAUUGCUUUAACCAGUGAAAUGCUUCGGUAGUUUGCUACCUUUGUGGUGGAAAUUCUUGAUGUCUAUUUUGGACUUUGGAGCUAUAAUUUCAUUUUUCUUAUAUGCAAUUUUAUUUUUAUUAUUUUUCUUUUAUACAGGAUUAGAACCGGUAUACUACAGGAAGAGGAGUGCACAAAAAUCUGAAACGUACAGAGAAAGCUCGCAUUCUAGUUAGCAAAUUGCCAUGUUGCUGAGAAGACUGCUCUUCUGCGGCCUAUAGAACUUAAACUUGUUCCUGUGGCCUUGGAAGGUAGUGCAUUUAAAAGCAAGUUUCUUGAUACGGAUGAACUUAUGAGCUACUGUAGCUGGUUUGCGACUUUCAGUAGCAUGAUCCCAAAAUGGCUGCGGAAAACCAAAAUUGUCAAGAAAAUUAGCCAAAUACUGGUGAAUCACCUUGGACUAAAUUUGACCAAAGAUGAUCUACAAAAUGUGGUUGAUUUAAUGGAGCCAUAUGGUCAGAUAAGCAAUGGAAUAGAAUAUCUAAAUCCUCCCCUUGAUGUCAGUAACUAACUUGCUUGUCAUUUUAAAUAUGCAAGUCAAUUGCUAUUAAUAAUUUUCUGUUGGAUUCUUGGACUGAAAAAUAAUUGAAUUGCAAGGUCAUACAUGCUGUUAAUUUUUUAAGAGCUAAUAAAUGAGUAUGACAUAGUGCUCAUAAA